AUUGAAAGAGACUUAUUUAGUAAUAUAGCAGUCAAAAAUAAAAAGUUGAAAUUCAGUAGUUCCCGAAUUCAGGAAUAUCUCCUUUGUUUGUUCAAGUCUGAAGAAUGCAAACCGGACUUGUGUGUCAUCCAAGAAGUUAUCUUUUUCUACGUGCUAUUUUCUUGCCUGUUCCAGAAGCAAAUGACGUCAAUGAGUUCUUUGAAUGGGCGGCUUUGGCUUCAAGCUCUUGAGAGUGAAGGAUGUUUUUGUUGCACUCGAAAGGCCAUGGAGGUUAAAGAGAACUCAGAAACCAUUUGUGAAGACAGUAAAAGAGUAUUUACUAAUCCUUACUUAUUUCGAAUAGACAGAAGAGGAGCUUCAGCUUAAAAGGAGUGGAUUGACAGGUAGAGAUACCACAUGGAGAAGACCUAAGACUACACAGAGAAGGUGAGGAGCCCAGCUGAGAUCAGCUUUCCAGACAUCCUCUUCCAAGUGCCAGAUGUGGUGCCUGAAGCUGCAGCAGCCAUCUUGCAACGUGAAAAGUCAAUACACCGAGGAUGACAGAGAGAAAGGAAGGAAGAUUUGCAUCAUUGGAGACUUUGUUGAGUUUCUAAAUCAGUCAUGAGACUUCUUGCUAAGGACAUAAUAAACAUCCUUAUUUAAGCCACUGUUGGACAGGUUUUCUGAUACUUGUGGGGGAAUGAAAUUCUAACUGAUGUAGUUAUUAUUUUAUUUCAUUAAAUAUGUGAUGCAAUUGAUUGUAGGUUAUAUCAUUAUUUAAUAUACCACUGAGCAAGAAAAUAAGCUGAG
RNAcentral lists this long non-coding RNA (789 nucleotides) under Equus caballus (horse). RNAcentral describes it as "lncRNA (ENSECAG00000045794.1)". The record is from RNAcentral. Lineage: Eukaryota; Metazoa; Chordata; Mammalia; Perissodactyla; Equidae.